RNAcentral lists this ribosomal RNA (218 nucleotides) under uncultured bacterium. RNAcentral's name for it is "partial 16S ribosomal RNA". It matches the Rfam family "Bacterial small subunit ribosomal RNA", at positions 57 to 305 of the family's 1533-position model. The record is from RNAcentral.
GCAAGUCGAGCGCACCUUCGGGUGAGCGGCGGACGGGUUAGUAACGCGUGGGAACGUACCCUUUUCUACGGAAUAGCCUUUGGAAACGGUGAGUAAUACCUUAUACGCCCUUCGGGGGAAAGAUUUAUCGGUGAAGGAUUGGCCCGCGUUAGAUUAGAUAGUUGGUGGGGUAAUGGCCUACCAAGUCUACGAUCUAUAGCUGGUUUGAGAGGAUGAUC